AUGCUUCUCUUGUGGGGCUAAGGACAGAAGCCAGAGUUCUGAGAGCACGGGACAACUCCCUCUGUCCCAUGUAGCACUGUCCUCAUGCCUGCCCCAUGAUGGGAGUCAGAUCUUCCAGAAUCUACACCAUUCAGAAAAGGUUUGGACCAGUGAGCUGGAUCAGCAGUGUCUGUCCGCCUAACUCCUGAAAACUACUACCUCUGGAGACUCCUCCUUGUCCGCAUUCAUUCACUUACUCAUGAGGGGUUGGAGAACAGAACUGAGACCUUGAUCCUAGUGUAUGAGAGGUUAAACGGCUGCCCUCCCACAGCUCUGGGCCAGGCGAACGUGGUGGAGCCCCAGCAUCCCAGGCUCGCCAGACCAGCAUCCUGUACCAAACUGUGCUCUGACCAGAGAGCAGGAAUGAAAGAAGCUAAAGCCAUCAUCAGACUCUGUGCAGCCAUGCAUUAUAUGGAAGAGCUGGAUGUAAGCUCUUAGCAUCUGCUCCAGCACCAUGCCUGCCCACCUGCCGCUGUGCUGUCACGAUGGUCGUGCACUCCAAGACCCUGGAAUGGUGAGCCUCAGUAAUCAUUUUCUUGGCCAUGGUGUCUCCUCACAAUAGAAAAGUAACUAAGCAAGAAAGCAAGAAGGGGUUUUAGAGAAAUGGCUGAGUAGGUCUUGGGGAAGACACAUAUGUAAUGAUCAUUAAAAUUAGGAAGC
This 699-nucleotide long non-coding RNA is filed under the name Mus musculus (house mouse). Its description in RNAcentral is "predicted gene, 49200". Lineage: Eukaryota; Metazoa; Chordata; Mammalia; Rodentia; Muridae. The record is from RNAcentral.